UCCCCGGCUCCUACAUCGGUAAUGCUCCUGUCGUGGUGGACGGGCCCUAUCCAAGGCAAAAGCGUUUUUUGACCUCUGCUCUCGGGAGCAAAUUGUCCCUACACCAUGAGGGCCUGGAGGACGGGAAGCGGCGUGGCUUCAAGGGCUGCAGACUCAGUUUGCCUUUGUGCUCGGCGCUGCUUCCAUUUCAAAGGCUUCGCCCGCGAAUCGCGACUGUGUGUGUUUGGCUGCUCUGCGAGGGUCCAGGCUGUGUAGAGGUCACAGCAUGAGUGGAUUGUGGGCUCAGUCAUCUCAACAGGAUGAGCUUGAAAUUCUUGCUUUGGGCCAUAUGGAGUGGAUAUUCCAGAAGGAAAUUACAUAUUGCUCUCUGUUUUUACUCAACUCCUUUUCACUUUAAAAGUGGACCCUUUGAAGCAGCCUUUUUCUUACCUCAGAAUCUGACAUGAAU
Molecule: long non-coding RNA, 448 nt
Organism: Galeopterus variegatus (Sunda flying lemur)
Lineage: Eukaryota; Metazoa; Chordata; Mammalia; Dermoptera; Cynocephalidae
Exons: 3
Source: RefSeq, a predicted model, not a curated record